This 48-nucleotide non-coding RNA is filed under the name Trichobilharzia regenti. The record is from RNAcentral. Lineage: Eukaryota; Metazoa; Platyhelminthes; Trematoda; Strigeidida; Schistosomatidae.
GUACCGCUGAAGAGUGUCAAGCACUAGGACGAAACAGCUGUCCAGUAC